Molecule: ribosomal RNA, 332 nt
Filed under: uncultured bacterium
Lineage: Bacteria
Description: bacterial SSU rRNA
Rfam family: Bacterial small subunit ribosomal RNA
Source: RNAcentral
CGUGUAGGCGGUCGGUUAAGUCUGAUGUGAAACGCCCGAGGCUCAGCUUCGGAAGUGCAUCGGAAACUAGCCGGCUGGAGCGCGAUAGAGGAGGGUGGAAUUCCUGGUGUAGCGGUGAAAUGCGUAGAUAUCAGGAGGAACACCGGCGGCGAAGGCGGCCCUCUGGAUCGUUGCUGACGCUGAGACGCGAAAGCGUGGGAGCAAACAGGAUUAGAUACCCUGGUAGUCCACGCUGUAAACUAUGGGUACUAGGUGUUCGGGGUAUUGACCCCCUGAGUGCCGCAGUUAACGCAUUAAGUACCCCGCCUGGGGACUACGGCCGCAAGGUUAAA